This 1135-nucleotide long non-coding RNA is filed under the name Physcomitrium patens. Its description in RNAcentral is "long non-coding RNA (PPAT_LNC004091)". Lineage: Eukaryota; Viridiplantae; Streptophyta; Bryopsida; Funariales; Funariaceae. The record is from RNAcentral.
CAAUAAUUUUCUGAGCCUUCGUGGCUGUGAUAAUCUUCAAGUUUCGAAUAACUCAACAAUGAUGUUCAGAGUGGUUGCAAGAGCGCAAGAAGUAGCUAUCUUCAACAUUUCAAGGACAUUGGUCCGUUUUGAUUACAAUGUCCACACUUUCCACAAGUUUACCGGCAAAAAAUUUCGGCAUUCUGCAGAGCCUAGUUGCACUUAAUUAAGCUUCCAACUUAACUUUCAAGCGAAGAGUUUGUUAUGACCUGGUCCUCGAGAUGUACUUCAACUGCCGUUUUGUCCAGUUCUCUCAACAAUUGCUCUUCCAAGUACUCGGCGGAAUUCUUUUGGAUCUUCUCUACUUCAUAAGCAGAAGGCAUUUCAGGCCCACAAUUUGUCCCAAGGUACGCGUUCCAAGCUAGAAUACUUUCUUGAGUUUUUGAUGCGCCAUUCCAGUUACAAGCACCCUGCGUAACAUCAACACGAUAUGGCGUACAAUGGUCAAGCGUAAGUUGAAGGUUUGUCGAGUGGUAAAAGAUGCAUAAGAUGGAUUAGGCAGCCAGUGUUCUGAAAAGAGAAUAGGUAGUUAAAACAUCUACGAAUGUCAAAAGCACGAAUAAACACAGCCGUAAGUAUGUUUGUACCUGAGUUUCGCUGAAUAUAGAGCUGUCGAACUCGGAAGGAGAAAGGUUGAUCCCUGCUAGUGCCUUUGGAACCGAAGCAUUCAAACAACUCUUUAACGUUACAUGCAUUGAUGCAACACGAGUUUUCGCGUCUUCCACGCUUUGAUCCAGUGCAUCGAUGACCAUUGAAGUCUCCUCAUCUAGAAUUUUUAGCAUUUGCUUCUGCAUAGGAUUGGUACAGGAUUGUGUUCGUGAAACAGGCUGCUUGAGAAGGAAUCCGAGUUUCAAAGAUCAUGUGAUACUAAAACUUUGCUGGCCAUUUUGACAACUACGAUUAACUGGAUCGUUGAUUGACGAUUGCGGAAGAUCAAAGGUUACAAAAUAACUUCCAGCCUUGUACAGGGUUCAAACUUCACAUGAUCAGAUUUUGAGAUUUUAAGGGAGUUAUUUUAUCGGCCUUACCCUGAGAUCAAUGACGACUGCAGCGCAAACUGCAAGCAUUGCUUUGUGAUCCUUGACCACAGCCCCAU